GACGUAGGGCGCGAGCGUUGUCCGGAUUUAUUGGGCGUAAAGAGCUCGUAGGCGGCUUGUCGCGUCGAUCGUGAAAACUCACAGCUCAACUGUGAGCUUGCGGUCGAUACGGGCAGGCUCGAGUUCGGUAGGGGAGACUGGAAUUCCUGGUGUAGCGGUGAAAUGCGUAGAGAUCAGGAAGAACAUCGGUGGCGAAGGCGCUCUGCUGGACCAUAACUGACACUCAGGGACGAAAGCUAGGGGAGCGAAUGGG
RNAcentral lists this ribosomal RNA (253 nucleotides) under uncultured bacterium. Its description in RNAcentral is "partial 16S ribosomal RNA". It matches the Rfam family "Bacterial small subunit ribosomal RNA", at positions 524 to 776 of the family's 1533-position model. The record is from RNAcentral.